GGACGAUUUACGACAAGGUCACGUACUAAAUGCUCUGUUUGACAAGAAAACAAGGAAAAAGAAACGCAGGGAGAUGCUCUAACAAAGUUUUAUUGAUAUAUUAAUUCAACAAUUUAUGAAAUGUUGAGAAACAUAAAUAGAUCUACAUGACGUCAUAAAGUACAAUUUCUUUUUAUGCUUUGUAAUCCCAAAACGGCAUACACUCGUUUCUAUUUUCUAUUUUAUCGUUUUAUGAUGCAAACUGUAAAAAAUAUCAAAAUUAUACAAGUAAAUAUAAUGAUACCUACUAUGAUUUUGUUCUUUAAUGACGUUGCUAAUCACAAAGGAAAAUAGGAAAAAGUUUUGUCAGGAUUUGACAAAGUUUGGUCGUGAUAUGAGGAUUAAAUUUCUUUAUAAGCUUUAAUAGGAAUAAUAGUAUUAAGUAUAUAGACAACUAUAAUAUAUACAUAGAUACUGUACAUAGUAUGUUGUUAUUUAAUAGCUGUAAUAAGACUCGGUAUAAUUUAAAAUAAAAUAUAGCAUAUUGUCAAAUAUACAUUUUAUAUAUUGCGUAUAAAAUCCUAUAGGGCAGCGUACACGUUGUCGACUUUCUACGAUUAUGGUUCCAUUACGACAAGGAUCGUAGCGGUUUCAUUGAACGAGAUGAGCUGGAACAAUUUGCUGCCGACUUAAUUCGCAAACAAGGAGUAGUAAGCUUUGAUAACAAAUCCAACUCAUAUUUUCUUAGUUAUAUGAAAAACAAAUUAUUCAUAACUUUUCGUAUUAGAAAAAUAUUAUACUUUAUAAAUAUUUAUCUAUAAUUUUCGUUAUUUUUCCUUCCCGCAUCUAAAUAUCAGAAAGAAUCGACACCCGAAGCCGUUGGGGCAGCUACGAGACUAUUUUUGAAGAUGUUUGAUAGGAAUAGAGAUAAAAGAAUCGAGUUGGGAGAAUUUGCCGAGAUUAUAUUCACUGACGAGCAAUGGACACCAUUCGAUCUACGUGACAAGUUAAGCAAAAGAGAUUUCGACGAAAUAUUCAACUACUAUGAUAAGGACGGAAGCGAAUAUUUGGAAUGUGGUGAAAUGAGAGAUUUUUUGAAAGACAUCACUGUCAAAAUUGGUCAGGUACCCACAAAGCGUCAAUUAGAGGAACAAACGGCCGUCUUCUUCCGUCUCUACGAUACGGACAAGAACGGAAAACUAUCGAGAGAUGAACUUCGAUUUUUGCUGACAAACAAGAAAUAAUAAAACUCUUCAUUUUCCAUUUAAUUCUAUUCCCAAUCGUUAUUCCACAUUACCUAAAUGCGUAAAUCUCACUGUUGUAACGUUUUAGAUAAUUAGACGUAAUUUCUCUAUAAUAGGAAUUUAAGCUGUUGUGUAAAUGAUAUAUAAUAGAAGUAACAUUUUCACUAUAGUUGUAAAACAGUUGUGAAUGCAUCUUAAAUGAAGAGGAAAAAUAGAAGAAGAAGAAGGGUAGAAGAGAGAAAUUGUGGGAAUAACGAUAGAUCAAUAAAUAAUGAAUAGACAAAACAAAACUUGGGCGUGCUGCUUGUUUUUUUUUUUCACUUAAAAAAAAAUCUUUAAUUAAUAUCCUGAAUGGUAACACUUUCUAAACUAUUAAUUUUACUAGGGAAAAAGUAGAAUUUGGUCUACGUCCUAAAUGGAUAGAAUAUAAGUCAUUAAUUCUACAAUAAGUGAAUCAGAGGGGCUUUCGUGACCAAAAACAUCUAGGCUUUUACUCUAUUUCAUUGAUUAUAUUUAAAUUUAACUUUCAACUAACUGUCUGUGGGCUAUUGACAACACAUAAUCAAUCAAAAUCUGAUUGUUAUUUAGACAGAAUUUAAUAUAGUAAGUUUAUAGUAUAAUCAUAAAUUAUACCUAAAAUAAUUUAAUGCGAAAUAUUUAGUAUUUACCUUAUCAACACUUAGCCUAGCAACAAUAUUAAUUGAUAGUAAAAAGGUCUUGAUUUCUAUUUCUAUUCUUUUUCUCGUUAUAUAUUCCAUGGAAAAAGGGAAAAAAACGAG
Molecule: unclassified non-coding RNA, 2002 nt
Filed under: Dimorphilus gyrociliatus
Lineage: Eukaryota; Metazoa; Annelida; Polychaeta; Dinophilidae
Description: dgyrCDS34
Source: RNAcentral